RNAcentral lists this ribosomal RNA (912 nucleotides) under uncultured archaeon. RNAcentral describes it as "bacterial SSU rRNA". It matches the Rfam family "Archaeal small subunit ribosomal RNA", at positions 1 to 922 of the family's 1478-position model. The record is from RNAcentral.
AUCGGUUGAUCGAUUUAGCCAUUCGAGUUAUCGUACUGGGAUUACACCGAGCGAAUCAUAGGAGUCAGUAAAGGCGGAGUCAAUCUGUCACGUGUACUCAGCUAAACUCGUGGACGUGGAUAUCAUCGGGAAUAGGUCAAUUCAUCACGAUGGAUAGUAGGGCCAAAAAUGACUUAUGGUCCUACCAGUUUCUCGCCACAGGAUGGGACUGCGGCCGAUCAGGUUGUUGGCGAGGUAAUGGCCCACCAAGCCGAUAACAGGUACGGGCUUUGAGAGAAGAAGCCCGGAGAUGGACACUGAGACAAGGAUCCAGGUCCUAUGGGGCGCAGCAGGCGAGAAACCUUAGCAAUGUGCGAAAGCGUGACGAGGUCAAUCCGAGUGAUUUCCGAUAAAGAAGUCUUUUGUCAGUCGUAAAUACACAGGUGAAUAAGGGGAGGGCAAGUCUGGUGUCAGCCGCCGCGGUAAUACCAGCUCCUCGAGUGGUCGGGACGAUUAUUGGGCCUAAAGCAUCCGUAGCCGGUUCCGCAAGUCUUCGGUUAAAUCCACCCGCUCAACAGAUGGGCUGCAGAGGAUACCGCAAAGCUAGGAGGCGGGAGAGGCAGACGGUACUCAGUGGGUAGGGGUAAAAUCCUCGAUCCGCGGAAGACCACCAGUGGCGAAGGCGGUCCGCCAGAACGCGCUCGACGGUGAGGGAUGAAAGCUGGGGGAGCGAACCGGAUUAGAUACCCGGGUAGUCCCAGCCGUAAACGAUGCAAACUAGAUGAUUCAUUGGCAAGUGGCCAAUGAAGUGCCGCAGGGAAGCCGUUAAGUUUGCCGCCUGGGGAGUACGGACGCAAGUCUGAAACUUAAAGGAAUUGGCGGGGGAGCACCACAAGGGGUGAAGCCUGCGGUUCAAUUGGACUCAACGCCGGA